CCAGAAGAGGCGCGUUGCCCAGGUAAACGGUGUUUGAGGAACCAGUCCUGUGAAAACAUCUGAAGGGGAGCAACGCCGAGAUGACUGAACUACCGGUUACGUUCACCAUCGGCUACAGGGGCUGAAUCCCCUGGGUUGUCACCAGAAACGUUCGCAGUCGCACGUUUCGCAAGUGGUGGAGCACUUCUGGGUG
RNAcentral lists this non-coding RNA (193 nucleotides) under Kluyvera cryocrescens. RNAcentral's name for it is "Lysine riboswitch". It matches the Rfam family "Lysine riboswitch aptamer". From Rfam's summary of the family: Riboswitches are metabolite binding domains within certain messenger RNAs that serve as precision sensors for their corresponding targets. Allosteric rearrangement of mRNA structure is mediated by ligand binding, and this results in modulation of gene expression. Lineage: Bacteria; Pseudomonadati; Pseudomonadota; Gammaproteobacteria; Enterobacterales; Enterobacteriaceae. The record is from RNAcentral.